GCAUUAUACCGUGAAACUGCGAAUGGCUCAUUAAAUCAGUUAUCGUUUAUUUGAUAGUACCUUACUACUUGGAUAACCGUGGUAAUUCUAGAGCUAAUACAUGCUGAAAACCCUGACUUCGGAAAGGGUGUAUUUAUUAGAUAAAAAACCAAUGCCCUCUGGGCUCUUUGGUGAUUCAUGAUAACUUAACGGAUCGCAUGGCCUUGCGCCGGCGACGGUUCAUUCAAAUUUCUGCCCUAUCAACUUUCGAUGGUAAGGUAUUGGCUUACCAUGGUUUCAACGGGUAACGGGGAAUUAGGGUUCGAUUCCGGAGAGGGAGCCUGAGAAACGGCUACCACAUCCAAGGAAGGCAGCAGGCGCGCAAAUUACCCAAUCCCGACACGGGGAGGUAGUGACAAUAAAUACUGAUACAGGGCUCCAGGGCUCUUUUGGGUCUUGUAAUCGGAAUGAGUACAAUUUAAACCUCUUAACGAGGAACAAUUGGAGGGCAAGUCUGGUGCCAGCAGCCGCGGUAAUUCCAGCUCCAAUAGCGUAUAUUAAAGUUGUUGCAGUUAAAAAGCUCGUAGUUGAAUCUUGGGCCUGGCUGGCCGGUCCGCCUCACCGCGUGUACUGGUCUGGCCGGGCCUUUCCUUCUGGAGAACCUCAUGCCCUUCAGUGGGUGUGUUGGGGAACCAGGACUUUUACUUUGAAAAAAUUAGAGUGUUCAAAGCAGGCCUUUGCUCGAAUACGUUAGCAUGGAAUAAUAGAAUAGGACGUGCGGUCCUAUUUUGUUGGUUUCUAGGACCGCCGUAAUGAUUAAUAGGGAUAGUCGGGGGCAUCAGUAUUCAAUUGUCAGAGGUGAAAUUCUUGGAUUUAUUGAAGACUAACUACUGCGAAAGCAUUUGCCAAGGAUGUUUUCAUUAAUCAGUGAACGAAAGUUAGGGGAUCGAAGACGAUCAGAUACCGUCGUAGUCUUAACCGUAAACUAUGCCGACUAGGGAUCGGGCGAUGUUUUUAUCUUGACUCGCUCGGCACCUUACGAGAAAUCAAA
RNAcentral lists this ribosomal RNA (1030 nucleotides) under Pseudocapulatispora fragrantis. RNAcentral describes it as "SSU rRNA". It matches the Rfam family "Eukaryotic small subunit ribosomal RNA", at positions 71 to 1102 of the family's 1831-position model. Lineage: Eukaryota; Fungi; Ascomycota; Dothideomycetes; Pleosporales; Lophiostomataceae. The record is from RNAcentral.